GUGCUUGCUUUGGCAGCACAUAUACUAAAAUAGGAAAGAUACAGAGAAGAUUGGCAUGGCCCCUGCAAAAGGAUGACAUGCAAAUUAGUGAAGUUUUCCAUAUUAAA
Molecule: small nuclear RNA, 107 nt
Filed under: Dasypus novemcinctus (nine-banded armadillo)
Lineage: Eukaryota; Metazoa; Chordata; Mammalia; Cingulata; Dasypodidae
Source: RNAcentral